GCCAGGGAAUUAAAGUUCUAAGAGAACUAGCUUGACCACUCUCCUGCCUGGGUGGCUUCCUGCACUGGGAUGCCAUCUCCCACGGGGUCUUCACCAAAGCUGAGCAGAAGGGGCAUCACGUGACCUUGAGCUUCAAGACCUUCUUUUUUUGUUUGUUUUUUUGGUUGUUUUUGUUUUUAGAGACAGGGUUUCUCUGUAUAACCCUGGCUGUCCUGGAACUCACUUUGUAGACCAGGCGGCCUCGAACUCUGAAAUCUGCCUGCCUCUGCCUCCCAAGUGCUGGGAUUAAAGGCGUGCGCCACCACACCGGGCAAGACCUUUCUUAAUAAAGUUAGCCAGUUUCGAAUAUUUUGGUAUUAUAAGAAAGAGCUGAGUUAAUACACUGGAGGCUUACAAGGUGACGCUUUGGGGUGGAGUGAUGGAUCUGAGGCUUGUGAGUUUGACUUCAAGGCUUUGCUUUAGCCACAUGCCAUCUACAAGUGCUCCCUGGUCAUCCUUUGCCCUCUUGUCUGGGGCUUCACUUUGACACUUCGCUCAACCUUGGCUGCCUAUUACCUUGUAGGACCUUAGUUGUUGUACUUCUGUGGUGUUCAGUGUUUGCCACCUCUGACUGAACUGCUUUCUCAGUGUGUUCUCUAAUCCUCCAGGUCGAGCGGGUAGGUACCGGUUAGUCAGAUCGUGCACGGCAUUACUUAUUUAUGCCCCUGCUCAGGACAGCCUGGCGGUAGUUGCACACACACAGCUAAUUUGAUUCUGUCACUUGUGCCUUAUACCAGUGUUCUACCUUCUUUCUGAGGCUGAGAUCUGACAUGCUGUAAAUCCUCUUUAUCCCUGUCAUCUGGCUCUAAAACCCCUUUGCCCUUGGGCUGUAGCUCCUCCCACCUCUGCUCCGUAACCUCCGUCCUCUCCUGCGUUCGCCCUCCAGGCCCCGCCCUCGUUAGAGGUCCAGCCAGCGGUGCUUGAAGGAGCAGAUCCUUUCCGAUAAGGGAGAGCUGCUUCCAGGUUCUCCUUUAAAUCAGUUUCAAACCUGCUCUGCUCUGCUGUGUGAGCGAGCCUGGGUUCUACUACAGAUUCCUGAACUACAGACCAUGAUUGGAAUUCCUUUCAACCUUGACUUCCGAAGAAGACCACCAUGGAAAUGGAAACCUGAUUUCACCCCAGUGCCAGAAAUGGCCCUGCAGCUGUGGAGAAGCAGCGUCUAUGCUGUGUAGAAGGGAGUUUGCUGCUCCACGACAGAAUCACUGCAAGUUAACCAGUCAUUUGGAGAUUAAAAAACCCAGGAAAUUGGUUUUCCUUUCCCGGCUUUAGGACAAUGAGGAAUCAGUUGGAAAAUUGGUUAUCUUAAGAGUUCUAGGCUCAGCUACCUGGAAGGGUGUUUAUUUGUACAUUUUACUGAAAAAAAAUGUCCAGUACUUGUGUUCAAGAAAUGAUGGCAUACAGAAUGGCUUAUUAUGAAUUGAUAACUAAAAAAAGAUAUUUACUUCUGAGAUACAAAGCUCUCCUGGACAUUGGUUUCAUUUAAGUUAAAAGUAAUGCAUAAAGCCAUCCACUCUGACAUCUGUAAACUAGUCAUUUUGAACAAGGAAUUUUUAUUAAUGGCUCUUCUGGGAGGAAACAGAAUGCCAAUUGGGGGAAGUUGAAGUUUGUGUAAUAGUUCUGGAGGCCCCGUGAAAUGAUUCUGUACAUAACUGUAUUGUCUAAAAAGUCAUAAAUUAAUAGAACUCUGCCUUGACAAGAAUAAAAUGUUCACACUCAGUGUGUAACUGAGUGCAAACAUAUUUAAUAUUAUUUAACUUUACCAUGCCUUUAUCUGCAUAGGAAUUGUCUUGAUGUGUUCUGGUGUAAAGUAGACUUGAAUAUAUAAAAUACACUAACAUUCGUUUUUCACAGCAUUGGACAUUGAGCCUGGGCCACAUGCGGCGAGCAAGCCGUGCCUUGAGCUGCCCACAGUUCCACGGUGUAGGAGAAUAUGAUGCAGUUGUUGGUGGGUGAAUCCCUUGUGGUGAUUGUUGCCCCAGUUAUAGAAAGUUAUACAAAGUUGUCUGUGGGUGAAGACUGUGUGUGGAGAGAUACCCAUGUCUUUUAAUUUUAAUACCCAUGUCUUUUAGUUUUGCUGGGUUAAAAUAGCACCACUUGGUUACCUGAUUUAGUUAAACAUUAGUCCAAGUUAAAAAGUAGUGUGUCGUUCAAGAUCAUCUAAACUGAAAACACUUUGCUCCUUCUUUCCCCAGUGACAUGACAGUUCUGAAGAGUUCACAUUUUAGUGUCCAUAAGUAAAGUUUAACUGAGACAGAGCCUGUCCAUUCAUUUCCGGACUGCCUGUCUUCCCACUGUGAGUCCUCAGGGUCUUUUAAAGGAAGUUUAUGGGAGUAGCCUAAAGAAGGAAGGAUUUAUUUUGGCCUAUAGUUUGCAAGGUUAUAGCUCAUUGUGAUGGGGAAAGCAUGGCAGAGUUCAUGGCUCUGUGUGUGUGUGUGUGUGUGUGUGUGUGUGUGUGUGUGUGUGUUCUCACACCGCUCCCAGUUAGGAAGCAGAGUGAGCCAGAGGGGACCAGAGCUGGUCUCUAACCCGAAAGAUCUACCUCAGUAGCUUGUACCGCAGAGAAGCCUCACACGUCACCCCAGCUGUGACUGUUCAGACACAAGCUUGUGGAGGACAUUUCAGGGGCAAACUAUCUCAGGGAGACAUUUUUGAGAACCUGCUCCUCCUAGAGUCCUGCCCACCUCUAAGCAGUGCAUUCUGUCGUGCGGCCAUGGGGCCAUGGACCAAGUCAAUCAUUUGCUUUCUAUUCUGGGCACUUGAGUUUUCUGCCCCAUUGGUCAGUAUGUCUGGCUUCAUGCACUAACAAGCUCUCUGACUAGCCUUAUCCCUGUGAUGGGAAAACAGGUUUGUUGGGGAUGCUGAGGGCAGUGUGUGUGUUUUUUUUCUGUGUGUUUUUUCUGUGUGUGUUGGUAAGUUGUAACCUCUGUGACCUGUUUCUAAUGCUGUCACUUAAGAGGUGAUUAUGUUAGUGAACGUUAUGAGAGUAGCGUGCAUCAUCCAACAUUUCCAGCAACUUACAAUUGACAGAGAUGCCAGUACUUUAUCCUAACUUUCUGCACUGUUUGCUAUGAGCCAUGCAUCUACCUCUUAAGGCUCUCCACGUCUUUUUAGUUAAUAUGUCUGCUUAGUCUGUGUGUGCGUGUUGCACGGGUUGUCUUCAAGGUCUUCCCCCUCAUUUGCUCUCGGGCUUAGCCUUGGAGGCAGGGUCCCUCACUGAACCAGGAGCUCAGUGAUGGGGUGGGGCCUCCUGGCCAGCAAGCCCCUCAGGUCCUCCUGGCUCCGCAGUGCUGGACCCACAGGCGAUUUACUGCAUUUCCUGCAGCCGAUUUGUAUGUGGGUCCUGGGAUGCGAACUCAAGUCUUCAUGCUCGUGUUGCACGCACCGUAGUGACAGCCAUCUUCCCUGCCUCAUCUCACUUAACUCUUACAACAGCAUCUGGGGGUGGGUAUGUUCAACUGCUCUAGUGUUAGAGUCCUAAUUUAAUUUGCUGUUGUGGUCAUUUAAAAUAAAAUCUGCUGCUUAGUUAUUCUGCGGCCUCUCCUGACACUGAAGCCCUCUUCUUACCAUGGCACAGCGUAAUACUGCUUUUCCCACCCACUCGCAAGGAAGAUCCUCCGUUGUUCUAGUGAGGACAGGCCUUUCCAGCCGCGCUCUUCUCUUUCUUUGAGUUUUAAGUUUGUUAUUUUUGGACCGGUGAUAGCUAUAGAGGUGACACAAAUCAGACGAAUAAAGUUACGAUGCUGUGAGGUGGGACUGGGUUCUGAGCGUCCCCAGGUUCCUUACUGUGGCCUUGGUCUCUAGUGGGGCUGCAUUGGUAGUGGGGUCUCGAGAGGUCCUCAGUCAGGGUUGCUGCAUCUGAAGGGGAUGAGGCUGUUCUCUUGGGACCUAGUCCUUCUUGCCAGACUGAUGGCUACCAACACUGGAGCUCGAGCCCUGUCCUCCUGUGGCUUCCUGUCUGGCCCUUCCUCUUGCACAGGCUCCUGCCAUUGUGAUUCUGUCCCUGGGGGUCCUCGUCAGAGCCCAGCUGAUGCUAAUGUGAACUCCCAGAACACUGAGGUGUCUAAACCACUCGUCUCUACGAAGUUUCCCAGACUCAGAGAGUUUACUAAAGUAACAAGAAUUGUACAGAUAGAUGUAUUCACUGUGAUGGUUUGUAUAUACUUGGCCCAUUUGGACACUAUUAGGAGGUGUGGCCCUGUUGGAGGAAUUGUGUCACUGUGGGUGUGGGCUUUAAGACCCUCAUCCUAGCUGCCUGGAAGUCAGUAUUCUGCUAGCAGCCUCCAGAUGAAGAUGUAGAACUCUCAGCUCCUCCAGCACCAUGCCUGCCUGGAUGCUGCCAUGUUCCUGCCUUGAUGAUAAUGCACUGAACCUCUGAACCUGUAAGGCAGCCCCAAUUAAAUGUUGUCCUUGUAAGAGUUGCCUUGGUCAUGGUGCCUGGUCACAGCAGUAAAACCCUCACUAACGCAUUCAGUGAGAAGAAAUCUUCCAUUGCUCUUAGAACCCAUUUCUCUUCCCAAAGGGAACAUGCAAGUUAGCUGUAAAAGAAACCCAUUUCAUACGACUGUAGCGUCACUUUACACUGACUUGUUUGGCCUGAGAGAUUGUAUGAUCCAUUUGUAUAUACACUUGCCUUUUCAUAUCCUUAUUUUGUGAGUGUACUGAAUUUUUAAAAGCACUUUCUCAUUUA
Molecule: long non-coding RNA, 4726 nt
Organism: Mus musculus (house mouse)
Lineage: Eukaryota; Metazoa; Chordata; Mammalia; Rodentia; Muridae
Product: predicted gene, 31984
Exons: 2
Source: RefSeq, a predicted model, not a curated record